Molecule: ribosomal RNA, 421 nt
Filed under: uncultured bacterium
Lineage: Bacteria
Description: bacterial SSU rRNA
Rfam family: Bacterial small subunit ribosomal RNA
Source: RNAcentral
GGAAUAUUGGACAAUGGGGGCAACCCUGAUCCAGCGACGCCGCGUGUGUGAAGAAGGCCUGCGGGUUGUAAAGCACUUUUCGUGGGGAUGAAAAGUACAUUGCUAAUACCAGUGUGUCUUGACCUAACCCAAAGAAAAAGCACCGGCUAACUCCGUGCCCGCAGCCGCGGUAAUACAGAGGGUGCGGGCGUUAAUCGGAAUUACUGGGCGUAAAGCGUGCGUAGACGGUUAUUUAAGUCGGGUGUGAAAGCCCCGGGCUCAACCUGGGAAUUGCAUUCGAGACUGAAUAGCUAGGGUACGGUAGAGGGAAGUGGAAUUUCCGGUGUAGCGGUGAAAUGCGUAGAUAUCGGAAGGAACAUCAGUGGCGAAAGCGACUUCCUGGACCAGUACCGACGUUCAGGCACGAAAGCGUGGGGAGCAA